Molecule: long non-coding RNA, 3148 nt
Organism: Marmota flaviventris (yellow-bellied marmot)
Lineage: Eukaryota; Metazoa; Chordata; Mammalia; Rodentia; Sciuridae
Source: RefSeq, a predicted model, not a curated record
UUUCAAUUUGUUCCUCCUCAGACUCCGUAGGAUCUUCCUUGGGAGAAGACCCAUGAGAACGAGGCUGUGACCAGCUGUCCCUGGUGGAAGCUUGUGGGGCUUCAGUGAGCGACUCGGAGUCGGAAGAGGAGUCCUCGGCAUCUCCAUACAUGGAGGAGAGAGAUGGCUCUGUACUGUCGCCCAGGCCUGACAGGGAGUUACUGUCUUCAUGAAAGCUGCUAAAAUUUCUAGAGUAGUUGCUCAGAAAGUUUUUGUUCACAGUAAAAUGUUUAUUGGGAUUAAUGGAAUCUAAAACUGAAGGCUGGGAGGCCCACAGUGGGGCUGUUGGGGAAGCAGUGGCCAAGGCCUUCCUGGGGGACGAUGUCUGGUCACCUGUGACUGGAAGGGCAUGCUGGGAACUGCCACCUCCAGCUCCUGCCUGCAGCAUAACCUGAGAAGUGCCUUGGUGACCCCUGCCUCCCCCUUUCUGAGAAGACUGAGGCCUCACUUCAGAAGCCUCUGGCUCCUUGAUGAAUCUGUCAAUGUCUGUCACCAGGCUCUCUCUGCUCCCCAGUGGGCAGCAGUGCCCAGAGACCCCAUCACACGUGUCGCUGGUCUUGUCAGUGGGCACUGGCAGGGAGGGGCUGGCCCGUGACACCCUUGCAGACACAGCAUCUGUGACCUCAAGCAGAGUGGCCUCCUGGGGGGUCUCAGGGGCUUGGUCUUCUGAGGAUUUGGAGCCCUUGCAGUGGGUGGCUGGAGUUCCUCGACUCUGCUCCCGGGAUAUGAGGUCUUGUGGCAGGAGGGCACUGGCUGGUGUUGCUUCCUCGGCCCCAGGUCCCACAACUCUGGGGGCAGCUGCCUUUCUGGUGGUGCCAUGGCAGCUGGCCAGAGUCUUGCUGAAGUCAGGAGGGGUCACUGCCUUCUCCCCUGGGGGUGUGCUGCACUCGUGGGGGACCAUCACAGCAGAUCUGCCCUGGGCCUCAGGCUCCAGGAGCCUGGGCAACACAGGCUGGCCAGCCUUCUCAGGCCUGCUGACUUGCCAUGCAUCCGUGGAGGUCUUGCUGAGAUCAGGAUGGGUGGCCUCCUUUCCUGGGGAAGGGAGCAGGGCCGGAGGGCUGUUUGGUCCUGUGUGGAGAACAAAAAGUGGAGUGGUAGAGAAGAUGAAGGGGCAAAGGGAGGAAAACAGAAGCCCUUGCAAUGAAAAGAGAACCAUAAACAAUCUCAGCCUUUUUUCUUUUUUUUUUAGGAGGACAUUCCACAGCCUACACGUGGGCCUUCUUGUCUGUCUGUUUUUGUCUCUCAAAUUACAGAGCGCUCACAUCCAGCAAACACCACACUGCUUCAGCCGCCCCAAAAUAACUCAGACGAGCUGGCAGGAUGAGCGUGUGAGCCUGCCCAUUUUUCUCUUUCUUGGUGAUUUCUGAGGACGGGGGACACCAGAAAUCCUUGGGUUUCUUUACACCAGCUGCUCUUUGACAGCAGAAGCUCAGGAGGAGUGGAGCAGUUGUUCUGUGCGAUGCCUGAGAUUUGGGGUGGACUCGGCAGAGCCUCGCAUCUCACCCAGUCCCAGCAUCUGGCCCAUCAGCCUCCAGGGCCAUUCCUUGGGACCUCUGCAGAACCCAGCAGGCUGGUUGCCUGGGAAGCAGCAUCCACCAUACCCUCUGGAACACUCUCCUCCAAGUACAACGAGCUGCCCAGGAGGGGCACUGAGGAGGCCUUGCUGACCUGUGUUUUCUGGCGUUGCUCCUCUUGCUUGUUGACAUCCGUGAUCUUGGGAGACGUCACCAAGGCAUGCCUAGAGUGGUCUUCUGUCAGAGGCCUGCUGGGACCUGGCAGGGAUCCUGGGAGGGAAACGCAGUCACCUUCUCUGCUGAACUCUUCCUCAUCGCUGCCAUCGUUGGCGUCGUAGCAGCCCACCCUUCUCUGGCGGAGCAGAGGGUUCCUGAGGACCUGUGGACUUCCAGGAAGACUGGCUUGUCUGGCAACUGUCACCUGCUUGUGGAAGAGCCCAGAGGUCCUCUGGCUUCCCAGAGACACAAGGCUGUUGGCCCUGGCUUUUCCUGGUUCCUUGUGAGCUGGAGGAGGCAGAGAGAAAAGUCAAAUGAAACCAAGUUCCUGAAUCUGGCCUGGUCUGAUAAUAGAAUCCCAUCACAACACAGGAGCAUUCGGCGGCAUUCACAACUGCAGACACUCAACCUCUGACCCCUGGACACCGUGCUUAAGUGACAUGACGUCUUAGGCUCUAUUCAGAGUGGAUGGCCAGCCUAUGGCUCCCCUUUUCCUUCUGGUAUCCCCCACCCUUUUAUCCCUAGCCCUCUGGAUAAUUUAACGUAGACUGUGUGCUGUCUGGAGACAGAGACUUGUAACUCUUUGAUUUCCAUGAUGUCUCACAGGUUGCUGGGGUCCAACCUAAAUGCUGCUGUGGAUAAUUCCUCUCUAGAAGGAAUUAUCCAAUGAUGUGUCCCCCAUACCUGGGCCUUUCCAUCACCUGAGGUCCCUCCAUCUGCCUCAUGGGGUAGCCAACCUUCCCCACCUGGGAAUGGAGUCUGCACUCAGCCCAUUUACUGUCCACUUGAGUGGCCCAUCAUUACAGUGGCUGCAUCUACCAAGAGUAAACUGUGUUUAGUCAGGGUGGAAAGAUGACCUCUGUUCAUCCAGAGGCAUGCUUUCCAGUUCUCCAUUCACAUUUUAGCACCAGGGAAGUUAAACCACCAUAGCCUCCAGUGGAGAGGUGCAAACUAGCACUUGGUUAUUGGAAUGCAGAGCCCAGGGCCCACUGGGGCUUCCUGCUUACUGGAGGAGCUGGGAGGCAGGCUGCCGUCCUCAGAGGCACUGCAGCUACUUCCUGGGUGAUCCUCAUCCUCAGAGCCGGCCACCAUGAAGUCUGACAAGGGGCCCUGGACAUCGUGGGCGAAGUACUGGGAGAAUUCAGAUUCAGAAAUAAGGGAGUCCUGUUGGAGAAGAAAAUGCUGGAUGUCUCCGCUUUCUCAGAAAAUGCACCAGAAGCAGAUUAUUUGAAACUAAUUACUUCCUAUCUUUGCAAGAACACUUUGUUCUAAUCCACGGUCAUUCAAAACAGCUGUGAUAGUAAACGCCCAUCUCCAUUUACUUUUCAGAAUGGCUAAAUUAACGAUUACAGAAUAAAAAGGUGACUGCUGUUGCCAGA